Molecule: long non-coding RNA, 1151 nt
Organism: Drosophila kikkawai
Lineage: Eukaryota; Metazoa; Arthropoda; Insecta; Diptera; Drosophilidae
Source: RefSeq, a predicted model, not a curated record
GCAAUGCCGGACUAGCUCAGUGGAUGCCCAGGGGGGGUAGGAACCUAUGCCCGCAGUCCGCACAACGAAACACCGAUUAAUCGGACGUCUCACACAAACUCCUCACUAACAGAUAAUACAUCUCUAACAAACAAAAGUAAACAAACCAAAAUAGACGACUUUUGCGGAAUGGUGGCAUAGAUGGUGUCGCCACGACGCUCCCGCCCAACCUGUGGUGCCUCCGGUGUGUCUAGGGGCACCACCCAUCUCCGGCGGACCGGAGUCUAAUCCAGGCGGCUUGACGGCCGGCCCAUCUCCCCAGAUACUUAAGGCUAACAUUGGCAGAGUAAUAUAGAAUUCCUAAUGGACUCAUUCCCGGCGAAACGUCACCCUAGCCCGGGAUGCGCUCGCGCCAAGACUGCGGCAGCGGAGAAGAAGCGGCGGUCCGCUUAAGGAAAAAGCCACAAACUGGCUGGAGAAGUACGCUAGAUUCCCUUUUCCUUUCUACCUAUUAUCCCUGCUGGAGCUCCAAGAGAAAUAAAGGGGAUGGAACUCGUGUUGCACAAAUCCCUGACCCAAGUUAAGAGACGCGGAGAAACAAGCACACGGAACCAAUUAUACAACGAGAAGUCACUCGGCGACCCGCAAAUGGCUUCAGUGGCGUGAGUGGCCAGAAAUCGUGACGACUGAUGGCGACGCAAGCCCGAGGAAAGAAGGCCCUUCGGAGCCACGGCCACGUCGUUUUUUUGAGAAGGGGCAGAGCCAAACAACUGUCCUAAAUAUGGGUACAAAAACCUGCCGGUUCCAGACGGCGCUUCACGGAACGGACUCACCGGACUCCCGUUUGGCUAGCGAGAUGGCUCCGUCAACGGCUGCUUAGAGGCUCGUUUGAAAAUCUCCCUCACUCCUCUCCAGAAUAUAUCCUCCCCAGAACGUCGGCGGCGGGUAAGAUUCUCCGUAUAAUUUCACAAAUUUUGAAUAAAAAAUCGCCGUGGCCAGCGAUUGGUUCACUGCCACGCUGAAAAUACACGUUUAUUAAAUAAAACGUUUUUUUAAAUCUUUGCACUUUCACCCACGUUCUUCAGGUAAUUCCUAGCCGCCCAGGAGAUUAGCUGCUUUAACUUCGACUUUCCGUUGCUACUGCCGGCUUCCAUGUUGCCUAUCCCUCCCUA